This is a long non-coding RNA of Oreochromis niloticus (Nile tilapia), 1799 nucleotides long. RefSeq lists it as uncharacterized. NCBI's taxonomy places the organism in Eukaryota, Metazoa, Chordata, Actinopteri, Cichliformes, Cichlidae. The record is from RefSeq and is a predicted model, not a curated record. The transcript has 4 exons.
AUAUCCUGUUUAGUGAAUGAACAAAGAAAACAGAGUAGAUCAGAAAAGAAAAAGGGAAAGUUAAAUAGGAAAUGUCUGUUGCACAGAUUCAGAUUGUAAAAAAACAGGGUAUUAAAAACAUUUUAUCAGAGGGCAAUAAUGAACUUCUGGUUUAUUGUAAAGGAAAAUUUAGAUGCAUUAAAACUUGGGUCUUAUUCAGCCUUUAGUUUGACAUUAAUGAUAUUAAUAUCUGAGAUCAGAGCACAUGUGAUGACUACAUGCCCAAUAUUUUGGCAGUUGUUUUGUAUGAUGGGCUUGGAUUUGUUUCAGAAUUGCAUUUCAUGUCAUCUGCAUACAUUUUGCAAAGAAACCCCAAAAAACAACAACAAAACAAAAUAUAGCACAAAUCAAAAAAGCACAGAUCAAAAAAGCUGAAGCACUGGUUGUUGUGACUAUAUUCUUAGUAUGAAAAGCAGGUUGUGUAAAACUGUAUUUUCCUCAUCAUAUAGUGGUUGAAUUAUUCAGUCCUCCUUAUUGUUAUGAUAAUUGAAGCUCUCGCUGUCACUUUUCUGAUGCCCUAAAUUCAAAUUCCUCCGCAUCAUCUGUACUUGUUGAAUAAAUAUUUAGGCCCACUCUGAUCACGGUGCAGAGAAAAUACUUUUUCCUUCCCUUUUUCAAGGUGUUUUCACAGCAGCUGACACAGUGUAUGUGUUUUCUAUUUGUAACCUGCCAUGGAGCUGGCUUAUUAUCAGAGGAGUGACCACAGUGUCACAGUAACUGCCCUUAUCCCCACAUUCACGCUCACCCCUCCGUCUAUUACCAUUGCCCUGGUCUUGUUCCAUGCCAUCUGUGUCCAUAGCAACUGGACAGAAUAGGUUACUUAUUAUAGGACAGGGGCUCAGCUGCCAGGUAGUUUACAAUGAGAUUUGUCAUAUCCUCUUCCAAACAGGUCAACAGCACAUGAGGUACAGGAGGUCAGAGAGAUCUGGUGACUGUAGAGGCCAUUUGAAUGCAGUGAACUCAUUGCCAUGUUCAAGAAACCUCUUUAAGACAAUCUGAAUGUUGUGACACGGAGUGUUAUCCUGCUGGAAGAUGGACGCACUCAGGGGCUCGCUGAGCGAUGUGGCCCUUUUGUGGAAUGGAUAGAUCUAAAGAUAAAAGACAAGUUUAAAACGCCGGUGACUCAGCCGGGGUGUUGUCAAAUAAAUUGGGACGACACCUCUUUCGUCCCAGCAGAUGCUACGUGCUUCGUUAUGACGAGCUCCGGUGAAGCUCUUCCUGUGCUGUGACUAAUUAUGACCCAGACUCAGAGCGUCUCCUCGGCUCCGGCCAGGUUAAACUCUAACCUGUGUGACAUCACGGUUAGUGCUAUGUUCUCAUCAGCUGUUAUAAAGAUAUUAUAAAGAUAUGCUAAGAUCAAGGCUUUUUGGUGUGGCCUAUAUUUGACCUCAUGUUAAAGAAAACUCAUUAGUGGCAAAAACAAGCUGCUGAAAUGCUGCACAGCCGUGUUUCUGUUAUCCUGGUGAAUAUAAGUCCAAUAUUCACUCUCCUUUAACUCUGUAUUGGACUUAUAGGGGGAAAUCUAGGUCUUAAGGUGCUAAAUGCUUGACUGAGUUAAUCUAGGUAGAAAACUGGUACACUGAUGGGCAAGCAAAACAAAACAUAACCCCCCUCCCAAACCCAGCCAUUCAGUCCAAUCCUUACUGAUUACAGAAGCAUUAAGCUGAAAACACAUAACACACUCACCUAAGUCCACUGGGGGCCACCUUGCACUGUUGUAUUGCACUUAAAAUAUUGCCCAUUUUGUUGUUUAUGUCUGA